Molecule: ribosomal RNA, 193 nt
Filed under: uncultured Staphylococcus sp.
Lineage: Bacteria; Bacillati; Bacillota; Bacilli; Caryophanales; Staphylococcaceae
Description: partial 16S ribosomal RNA
Rfam family: Bacterial small subunit ribosomal RNA
Source: RNAcentral
CUUCGGGAAACCGGAGCUAAUACCGGAUAAUAUAUUGAACCGCAUGGUUAAAUAGUGAAAGACGGUUUUGCUGUCACUUAUAGAUGGAUCCGCGCCGCAUUAGCUAGUUGGUAAGGUAACGGCUUACCAAGGCAACGAUGCGUAGCCGACCUGAGAGGGUGAUCGGCCACACUGGAACUGAGACACGGUCCAG